GUGGGGGUGUUCAGCUUAUGCAGGAAGUGAGACUUCAGAACCAAAACACGGCACAUAUUAGUCAUAGCUACAAGUACAGUAAGAAUUUUAAUUCAUUUUAAUCUUUAUCAUCUCCUCACCUAUUGUAGUAUAAUUCAAUUCUCUGUUAGCCAGGUUUGUUUUACUUUCUGUAUUUGAUCAUUCUUAGAGAAAAUUAAACAAACUAGAAGUUAAGUAGCUCUGCAUUUUCGUCUGAUAAUGAGCAAAUGAUGACCAUCAUAGAAAAUCACAACUAGACACAAUGAAGAGAUCGACAGAUAGUGUGGAGCGCAGCCCUAAUGGAUACAUCUACAUCACAGCUCCUGACAGAAAGCAUUUCAUGGGGGAGAAAUUGAUACUUUGCAGAAAUCUUUGUUUUACAAGGAAUGAAGCCAUUGACAUCAAUGAACCCAGUUCACAAAUAGCACUACAAACAUCAUUAUUUAUCAAACAAUAACUGGAUGUUGUCUUCAAUGUUUAUGACAGAUAUUCUUUUUAUAAGGUUGCUUUCAAUCUACGUUUUCUAUUUCUAGAUUUUAUUAUCACAACACACUUAUGAAAAACACUUGCAUUGUUCUCUGGCACAGGGACAUGGAAAAGUACAUAUCUUAAGAGCACACUUAUGCAUCAUUAGAUUACAUUGUAAAAGUUGAUUACAUAAGAAAUCAAGACAAGUAAAAUUGUCACAUUUGCUCCCUUAUAAGUAGGUUAAACAAACAGUCUAAAUAGACAGUAGGAGAUCAGUUUUAAAUCUUAAGUGACCUCAAGGUGUAUUACUGACUCUGGCUGUCCAGCAAAAGUUCCAGUUUCUUAGAAUAUAAUAAACUUUUUU
Molecule: long non-coding RNA, 850 nt
Filed under: Cricetulus griseus (Chinese hamster)
Lineage: Eukaryota; Metazoa; Chordata; Mammalia; Rodentia; Cricetidae
Description: lncRNA (ENSCGRG00015031628.1)
Source: RNAcentral